GGAGAGGUGGCAGAGCGGUUGAAUGCACCGGUCUUGAAAACCGGCAGGGGCGCAAGCCCCUCGUGAGUUCGAAUCUCACCCUCUCCGCCA
This 90-nucleotide transfer RNA is filed under the name Gammaproteobacteria bacterium. RNAcentral describes it as "tRNA-Ser". It matches the Rfam family "tRNA". From Rfam's summary of the family: Transfer RNA (tRNA) molecules are approximately 80 nucleotides in length. Their secondary structure includes four short double-helical elements and three loops (D, anti-codon, and T loops). Further hydrogen bonds mediate the characteristic L-shaped molecular structure. tRNAs have two regions of fundamental functional importance: the anti-codon, which is responsible for specific mRNA codon recognition, and the 3' end, to which the tRNAs corresponding amino acid is attached (by aminoacyl-tRNA synthetases). tRNAs cope with the degeneracy of the genetic code in two manners: having more than one tRNA (with a specific anti-codon) for a particular amino acid; and 'wobble' base-pairing, i.e. permitting non-standard base-pairing at the 3rd anti-codon position. RNAcentral also lists the same sequence under 2 other names. The record is from RNAcentral. Lineage: Bacteria; Pseudomonadati; Pseudomonadota; Gammaproteobacteria.